Molecule: long non-coding RNA, 193 nt
Organism: Zea mays
Lineage: Eukaryota; Viridiplantae; Streptophyta; Magnoliopsida; Poales; Poaceae
Exons: 3
Source: RefSeq, a predicted model, not a curated record
CUACACAGAUUCAACAACAGCAAACACUCAUACAACAACUAGCACAGGCCCAAGGGAUACACGUCCCGGUGCCCCCCACCACCUCCCGUUCAUUAUCCUUGGUCUUCACCUCCACCUAUACCUACAUCUCCAUCUACCGAACAUCAGACCCCUCCAGCUACCUUGCCGACGCAUGAACGAGAAGAUAGGUUAG